RNAcentral lists this ribosomal RNA (450 nucleotides) under uncultured bacterium. RNAcentral's name for it is "partial 16S ribosomal RNA". It matches the Rfam family "Bacterial small subunit ribosomal RNA", at positions 354 to 796 of the family's 1533-position model. The record is from RNAcentral.
GUGGGGAAUUUUGGACAAUGGGCGCAAGCCUGAUCCAGCAAUGCCGCGUGCAGGAAGAAGGCCUUCGGGUUGUAAACUGCUUUUGUACGGAACGAAACGGUCCGGGUUAAUACCCUGGGCUAAUGACGGUACCGUAAGAAUAAGCACCGGCUAACUACGUGCCAGCAGCCGCGGUAAUACGUAGGGUGCAAGCGUUAAUCGGAAUUACUGGGCGUAAAGCGUGCGCAGGCGGUUUUGUAAGACAGGCGUGAAAUCCCCGGGCUCAACCUGGGAAUUGCGCUUGUGACUGCAGUGCUGGAGUACGGCAGAGGGGGAUGGAAUUCCGCGUGUAGCAGUGAAAUGCGUAGAUAUGCGGAGGAACACCGAUGGCGAAGGCAGUCCCCUGGGCCUGUACUGACGCUCAUGCACGAAAGCGUGGGGAGCAAACAGGAUUAGAAACCCCUGUAGUCC